CAGGCCUAACACAUGCAAGUCGAGCGGACUUAUCCUUCGGGAUAGGUUAGCGGCGGACGGGUGAGUAACACGUAGGCAACCUGCCUGUAAGAUCGGGAUAGCUACCGGAAACGGUAGCUAAGACCGGAUAGCUGGUUUCUCCGCAUGGGGGAAUCAUGAAACAUGGGGCAACCUGUGGCUUACGGAUGGGCCUGCGGCGCAUUAGCUAGUUGGUGGGGUAAUGGCCCACCAAGGCGACGAUGCGUAGCCGACCUGAGAGGGUGAUCGGCCACACUGGGACUGAGACACGGCCCAGACUCCUACGGGGGGCAGCAGUAGGGAAUCUUCCGCAAUGGGCGCAAGCCUGACGGAGCAACGCCGCGUGAGUGAUGAAGGUUUUCGGAUCGUAAAGCUCUGUUGCCAAGGAAGAACGCCUCGGAGAGUAACUGCUCUGAGGGUGACGGUACUUGAGAAGAAAGCCCCGGCUAACUACGUGCCAGCAGCCGCGGUAAUACGUAGGGGGCAAGCGUUGUCCGGAAUUAUUGGGCGUAAAGCGCGCGCAGGCGGUCUUUUAAGUUUGGUGUUUAAGCCCGGGGCUCAACCCCGGUUCGCACUGAAAACUGGGAGACUUGAGCGCAGGAGAGGAAAGCGGAAUUCCACGUGUAGCGGUGAAAUGCGUAGAGAUGUGGAGGAACACCAGUGGCGAAGGCGGCUUUCUGGACUGUAACUGACGCUGAGGCGCGAAAGCGUGGGGAGCAAACAGGAUUAGAU
RNAcentral lists this ribosomal RNA (750 nucleotides) under uncultured bacterium. Its description in RNAcentral is "bacterial SSU rRNA". It matches the Rfam family "Bacterial small subunit ribosomal RNA", at positions 43 to 783 of the family's 1533-position model. The record is from RNAcentral.